AAAAAAACAAACUCUAAUUUUUAGUGUCCAAUAUUUAACCGUCCGUCUUAUUUAAAAAAAUUGUGAAAAAAUUAAAAAGACAAGUCACGCAUAAAGUAUUAAUCAUGUUUUAUCAUCCAACAAUAAUAAAAAUACUAAUUAUAAAAAAAUUUCAUAUAAGACAGACAAUCAAACGUUAGACACGAAAACUUGGGUUUUUUUUUUGG
This is a microRNA precursor of Oryza sativa Indica Group (long-grained rice), 206 nucleotides long. It matches the Rfam family "MIR812 microRNA precursor family". Lineage: Eukaryota; Viridiplantae; Streptophyta; Magnoliopsida; Poales; Poaceae. The record is from Rfam.